GACGAACGCUGGCGGCGUGCUUAACACAUGCAAGUCGAACGGAAAGGCCCUGCUUUUGUGGGGUGCUCGAGUGGCGAACGGGUGAGUAACACGUGAGUAACCUGCCCUUGACUUUGGGAUAACUUCAGGAAACUGGGGCUAAUACCGGAUAGGAGCUCCUGCUGCAUGGUGGGGGUUGGAAAGUUUCGGCGGUUGGGGAUGGACUCGCGGCUUAUCAGCUUGUUGGUGGGGUAGUGGCUUACCAAGGCUUUGACGGGUAGCCGGCCUGAGAGGGUGACCGGCAACAUUGGGACUGAGAUACGGCCAAGACUCCUACGGGAGGCAGCAGUGGGGAAUAUUGCACAAGGGGCGGAAGCCUGAUGCAGCAACGCCGCGUGCGGGAGGACGGCCUUCGGGUUGUAAACCGCUUUCGCCUGUGACGAAGCGUGAGUGACGGUAAUGGGUAAAGAAGCACCGGCUAACUACG
Molecule: ribosomal RNA, 466 nt
Filed under: uncultured bacterium
Lineage: Bacteria
Description: partial 16S ribosomal RNA
Rfam family: Bacterial small subunit ribosomal RNA
Source: RNAcentral